Molecule: small RNA, 292 nt
Filed under: Pongo abelii (Sumatran orangutan)
Lineage: Eukaryota; Metazoa; Chordata; Mammalia; Primates; Hominidae
Source: RNAcentral
GCCAGGCGUGGUGGUGCAUGACUGUAAUCCCAGGUACUCGGGAGGCUGAGGCAGGAGAAUUGCUUCAAACCGGCAGGUGGAGGUUGCAGUGAGCCGAGAUUGUGCCACUGCACUCCAGCCUGGGCAACAAGAGUGAGACACUCCGUCUCAAAAAAACAAAAACAAAAACAAAAAACCAAUAAAAAGCAAUUUGAGACGGAGUCUUGCUCUAUUGCCCAGGCUGGAGUGCAGUGGCGCAAUCUUGGCUCACUGCAAGCUCUGCCUCCCAGGUUCAUGCCAUUCUCUUGCCUCA